RNAcentral lists this ribosomal RNA (256 nucleotides) under uncultured bacterium. Its description in RNAcentral is "partial 16S ribosomal RNA". It matches the Rfam family "Bacterial small subunit ribosomal RNA", at positions 524 to 776 of the family's 1533-position model. The record is from RNAcentral.
UACAGAGGGUGCAAGCGUUAAUCGGAUUUACUGGGCGUAAAGCGCGCGUAGGCGGCUAAUUAAGUCAAAUGUGAAAUCCCCCGAGCUUAAACUUGGGAAUUGCAUUCGAUACUGGUUAGCUAGAGUGUGGGAGAGGAUGGUAGAAUUCCAGGUGUAGCGGUGAAAAUGCGUAGAGAUCUGGAGGAAUACCGAUGGCGAAGGCAGCCAUCUGGCCUAACACUGACGCUGAGGUGCGAAAGCAUGGGGAGCAAACAGG